AAUUUUACAAGAAUAUAUCAAAACAAGAGCUAGUAAUCAAAGUUUUUCUGUCCACAUUCCAACCAACAUAUUACAACCACAUUCUGUAUACAUUGUUUUCUUCUUCUCCAUCCAUUGCAAACCCUUUACUUGCUUGUAGCAAAACAAUCCAAAAACAAAUAAAUAUCCCACACUCAAAAUCAAAUUUAAUAUCAACAAGAAAAAUAGAAUUUUUAAAAGCUAUGAAAGAACAAAAUAACAGAACCCUUUCUGCCUUUGCAAGCUUUUUCAACAACAUAAUCUGUUUGUCUUUAAUCAGAAGACUUGGUCUUGGAUCUGUAGACAAGCUUCUUCCUCUUAGAUGUUUGGUUAUCAAAUGUAAGCACCACCUUCCCUGCUUCUGGCGCGGUAUAGUUGUUGGUGAUCACCGUUUCAUUUGCUGCUGCAAUCUUUCUUGAUUUCUCGACGAUGAUCGUGUACCCACCUUCAGCACUUGGCACAAAUUCAGCUCCAUAACACACAUCCCAUCCUACUACUCUUGCUUCCCACACCAAAUUACUCUUCUCAGUAACUGGAAAUUCAACCGUGUGUUUGGAAGCAGGCUUAACGGUAUCCUCAGUGGCAGAGUCAGCAAUGGUGAAUUCCUGUUCACCCUCCCUGCUAAGUCCACCAUAUUGAACUGGAACUUGCUCAGGGACAAUGUAUUUGAAGAGAGUCUCAGCAGAUCGUGAAGCACCAGCAAACACAAACUUGCUCUUGGUCCUGGUAGUGAAAAGUGCAUUGAUCAUCCUGUAGUAAGCUGGAUACCACCAUGGCACAUUGAUGAACACCUGCUUGGCAACAAAUUCAGGGUAGUUGUCCUGGAGUAACUGAAGUGCACGGUUGGUAGCCUGGCGAAGUUCUUUCUUGUAAAGGUAAAGUCCAGGUGAAUUUUUGAGAUCAAUAACCUGAACAAAAGUGCAUAUGCCAUCAGGGCUAAAAUCAAGAUUCCUGAUUGAUUUCUCCAUGAACUGAAUACGCCAUCUAAGAAACUUGUCCAUUUUCUCCUUAUCAGCAAAAGUAUUCUGAUACAAUUCAUUGUCCUGAAAUGCCCCAAAUGCAUUGUAACAAACUGGAUGUCCUUCCUUGUCCACACCAUGAUUGUACACCACUUUUUCUAGUCCUAAUCCUGACAGAUCUUCUUCCAAAAGUUCAUCAAUGUUAAACUCCUUACGCCAUGCUACCACACUCUUCAGCAUAGCAAAAGCUUCCUUCACUUUGAAAUCUCUGGCUCUGAGGAACUUGAGAAGGAUCACAUCACUUCUUUCAUCAGCUAAUAAGGGAAUUCCCCAGAUGGAAACUUCUUCCUCUGUUGCUGCGACUUCUUCUGCCGGAACUGCUGCAUCCUCCUCAACCGGUGCAGUACUGGUGGCAGUCACUUCAACAAUCGUCUCUUUGAUUUCUUCAACGGCUUUAGAACCAUCCUCCUCAUCUGCUGUAACCUUUUCAGUCACUUUCUCAACCGUCUCCGAUGGAUCUGCUGACGCCGGAGUUUCUUUCUUCUCUUCCACAACAGGUGGAACUUCUUUCUUCUCUUCCACUACAGGUGUAGUUUCUUUCUUCUCUUCUACCACCGCUGCUGGAACUGGUGGUUCUUCCUUCACCGGCUCUGUGGUUGCCGGUGCAGCAUCGGUGGUGGGUUCCUCAGCAGCAGAUUCUUCCUUUUUCUCCUCCUCUGCCACAGCAAUAGCUACUGCUUCAGCCUCUGGUUUCUUCUCCUCCUCCUUGACCGGAGGAGCAGUGAAUUCAUGUUUGUUCAGAGCAUCUUGAACCAACUCUUUCAACUCCGCUAAAGCCUUUUGUUCAGGAUUUGGUAGUUCAUCAACUUUAUUGCUCUCUUCCUUAAAAGAAGCAGAUUCAGUAACUGGAGUUUUUUCCUUAUCAGUUUCCUCCGUCACCGGAUCAGCAGAUUUUUCCGGUGUCUCAGGAACAGGUACCGGUUCAGGUUGAGGGGUUGAUUCCUUUUCCGGCACAGGGACAUCAGCCACAGUUGUCGGUGGCGUAGUCUCAUCAGAAGCAGGUUUCUUGGUUUCUUCAGCCAUUUUCCAGUGAUACGAAUUCUCAAGAGAAAAAGGGUAAAGAAGGUAUUUUUAGACGUGGGGAUGAAGUUAU
RNAcentral lists this unclassified non-coding RNA (2130 nucleotides) under Hevea brasiliensis (rubber tree). The record is from RNAcentral. Lineage: Eukaryota; Viridiplantae; Streptophyta; Magnoliopsida; Malpighiales; Euphorbiaceae.